This 497-nucleotide ribosomal RNA is filed under the name uncultured bacterium. Its description in RNAcentral is "partial 16S ribosomal RNA". It matches the Rfam family "Bacterial small subunit ribosomal RNA", at positions 28 to 507 of the family's 1533-position model. The record is from RNAcentral.
GAUGAACGCUGGCGGCGUGCCUAAUACAUGCAAGUCGAGCGAACGGACGAGAAGCUUGCUUCUCUGAUGUUAGCGGCGGACGGGUGAGUAACACGUGGAUAACCUACCUAUAAGACUGGGAUAACUUCGUGAAACCGGAGCUAAUACCGGAUAAUAUUUUGAACCGCAUGGUUCAAAAGUGAAAGACGGUCUUGCUGCCACUUAUAGAUGGAUCCGCGCUGCAUUAGCUAGUUGGUAAGGUAACGGCUUACCAAGGCAACGAUGCAUAGCCGACCUGAGAGGGUGAUCGGCCACACUGGAACUGAGACACGGUCCAGACUCCUACGGGAGGCAGCAGUAGGGAAUCUUCCGCAAUGGGCGAAAGCCUGACGGAGCAACGCCGCGUGAGUGAUGAAGGUCUUCGGAUCGUAAAACUCUGUUAUUAGGGAAGAACAUAUGUGUAAGUAACUGUGCACAUCUUGACGGUACCUAAUCAGAAAGCCACGGCUAACUACGUG